UUUUAUGAAGUUGUUCUGCCGAAUAAAAUUCUGCGCAGUUUUGAAAUUUAACGUUUGGUGUUCCCUUCGGGCAUUUUUCCGGUACGUUUAAAAGCCAAACGAAGGAAGCUCCUGGUUAAUGAUAUAAAAUGGUGCUACUUGAAUAAAUAGGAAAUGCAUGUCUGAGAGAACGAUUCUUCCGUGUGAUAAAAAAAUAAGGUACUGGAAAGGUGAUGAUAACAGGUGUUGUAAUAUUUGCUUUACGAGAAACUGUCAAUGUGGCAUAGAGAAAAAUUGUUAUUGAAAAAGAGUGUGGCCUUCAAAUCUAGUCACAUUUACAUAUAAUUAAAAGUGUUGGACUUUUUAAUUCAUUCCAGAAAUUAAUGUUACAGAGAUUAUAAUAAAUGAUUUUAAAAAUUGUGUGCACUGUUAAAACUAGAGGAUGUAUCUGUUUUACAUAAAUAGAAAAUUGCGGAGUUUCCGAGUUUAA
Stegodyphus dumicola is the source of this 469-nucleotide long non-coding RNA. Lineage: Eukaryota; Metazoa; Arthropoda; Arachnida; Araneae; Eresidae. The record is from RefSeq and is a predicted model, not a curated record.